UGAAAUUGUUGUUUGUUGUUCCGGCCCCAUUUAAACUUGCCUAGAUAGUUAGUUUACUUAUGUUUCAUCUCUUGCCAUGUUUAACAACAUUUAAUAUUGUUGUGUACCUAAACAAGAGUGAACUAAAUAACUCGAUGUGGUGUUUUGUCAAUAUGCAACUCAUUGCAUAUUGAGCUCCACUUAAUUUGUAGUAUUGUUUGUUGCAUAAGGCCAUGCCAUGCCUCAUUAAACCGGACAUGCAUCAUACUUGAUUGUGCAUCAUGCCAUGAUUAUGCUUGUGUGUUUACCAUGUUGCUUGCUUCUUUCCGGUUUGCUUCUCUUGUUAGCUUCGGUUUCGUUCCGGAGUUGUGAGGAUUCGUUCGACUACGUCCGUUUGUCUUCUUCGUGGACUCGUUCUUCUUCCUUGCAGGAUCUCAGGCAAGAUGACCAUUACCCUCGAUAUCACUUCUAUCUUUGCUUGCUAGUUGCUUCAUUCUAUCGCUAUGAUGCGCUACCUAUCACUUGUUUACCAUGCCUCCCAUAUUGUCAUGUCAGCCUCUAACCUUUUCACCCUUCCUAGCAAACCAUUGUUUGGCUAUGUUACCGCUUUGCUCAGCCCCUCUUAUAGCGUUGUUAGUUGUAGGUGAAGUUGAAGAUUGCUCCAUGAUGGACAGGAUUAUGUUGGGAUAGCACAAUAUCUCUCAUUUAAUUAAUGCAUCUAUAUACUUGGUAAAGGGUGGAAGACUCGGCCUUAUGCCUGGUGUUUUGUUCCACUCUUGCCGCCUUAGUUUCCGUCAUAUCGGUAUUAUGUUCCCGGAUUUUGCGUUCCUUACACGGUUGGGUGAUUUAUGGGACCCCCUUGACAGUUUGCUUUGAAUAAAACUCCUCCAGCAAGGCCCAACAUUGGUUUUAACAUUUGCCACCUAAGCCUUUUUCCCUUGGGUUCUGCAGACUCAAGGGUCAUCUUUAUUUACCCCCCGGGCCAGUGCUCCUCCGAGUGUUGGUCCAAACUAGAGCACCGUGCGGGACCAUUCCUUGGCAACUUGGAUUACGUCAGUUCCUAUACGCUUCACUUAUCCGGUGUGCCUUGAGAACGAGAUAUGUGCAGCUCCUAUCAGGAUUUGUCGGCACAACUGGGCGGCUUUGCUGGUCUUGUUUUACCAUUGUCGAAAUGUCUUGUAAACCGGGAUUCCGAGUCUGAUCGGGUCUUCCUGGGAGAAGGUAUAUCCUUCGUUGAUCGCAAGAGCUUAUCAUGGGCUAAGUUGGGACACCCCUGCAGGGUAUAAACUUUCGAAAGUCGUGCCUGCGUUUAUAGGCAGAUGGGAAUUUGUUAAUGUCCGGUUGUUAGGACCCCGACUCGAUGCCACAUCGAUCUAGCAUGUAACACCUCAUAUCACUUUGCGGCCUCACGCACGGUUUUCCCACGGGUGUCCUCUUACCUUUGCCCGGGACCGUUUGCGCCUUUUGGCACACGUAUAUGAUAGUGUCGCUAGCAUCCAUAUGGUAAGGAGCCCGGGCUGACAUGGCUAGUCGUAAACCCAAAGUGGCACAGACUUACAGGGACAGGCAUCCAUGACCCAGCAUCGAACGUGUCGGUCAUCAGCAAGUGAAUCCAGGCUGUAGCACUGGGCUAGCAGGACUCCGGUAAAUCGGGCUGUAGCGGGCUAACAGGACUCCGGUAUCCAUCGUGUGACAUUUCCCCGAAGGGACAGAAACAGGAACAAAGAAGGACACAUGCCGGCCAGCCUAAGUGUUCCGGAGCAGUAGCAAGCUACCAAGGCUCAGUGGAGACACUAGGAGACAUUUCCCAGUAAGAGAGGCUACUAAGAAUAAACAACUAGAUAGUCAGAUCCCACACAUACCAAGCAUUUCAAUCAUACACACAAUAUGCUCGAUAUGUGCAAAUACAACAAGGCAUCACAACAUGACUCUACGACACCAGUACUUUAUUUAAGGCUCAGAGAGCCAUACAUAUCAUACACACAAGUACGGGUCACACGACCCAGCAUUCAAGUCAUACAGACAUACAAGCCAACAGCGGAAGUAACUUGUCUGGGUACAGACAACUAGUAAAAUAAAAGAGGCUUGGGAAAGCCUGGCUAUACUACGUGGUCCUUCACAAGCUCAGGAUCACCACCUGGGCCUCGGUAUACUCAUCGAUGUCAACUUCUACGAAGAACCCAUCAGAAGGGGUUGCAGCGUCUUCUGAAAAAUGUAAAUUAAAGCAACAUGAGUACAAAGGUACUCAGCAAGACUUACAUCAGAUCCUACAUACAUGCACAUUAUCAAGAAGGGUUGGUGGGGUUAUUGCAGCAAGCCAGCUUUGACUCUUGGCUAAGCUAUCCUACGAUACACCAACUUGAAAUGGUUUUGCGCACACGAGUACACUACUCACCACUUCAAUACACCACCGAGGAUCCACCUCCGUCAUCCUACGGAAGAACCAUCCUUGGCACUCACGCUUAUCUUGAGAUUUUUAGUAGUAUCCAUUUACUUGUCUAUGAACUGUAUAGGAAACCAAGUAGUCCUUUACCGCGGACGCGGCUAUUCGAAUAGAUAAUGUUAACCCUGCAGGGGUGUACUUCUUCAUACACGCUCUCACCACUUACCGCCGUUUACACGACAUGUACUCGGCAACCUUCAAGCGGAAGCCCAACGUGGGUGUCGGCCACGACCUACCUAAACACCUAAUUCUCUAGUCCAGGUUUAUCGCCUAUCCAGGUUCCAUCCGCAGGGAGUCCGGCCGAGGUUUCCACAUACGGCCCCGAACGAUGUGUACAGGGUUCCCGAGAUACCUAACGGGUAUCCGGUACACCGUGCCACAUACCUACCGCAUCACAGCCCACCGCUAUGGUCAGCGCUGUCCACGGCCUCCAGUAGGCUACAAACACCAGAAAUUACUUGCAACUCCUGGACAGAGGACUAGGGUGAAUAAGAAGCCGAGAGGGUCCAUUGGUUUCAGGCCCAAUGCAUGGUAGUAGAUGAUUCUUAAAUCACACAUACAGAUCUCAGUGCUUAAGGACGGCUUCAAUGAAACAACCCACCAUGUACUCCUACAUGGCCUUUCAUCGAUACCUUUACCAAAUCGUGUUCACCACAUCACUCUCAUUACCGGCAUGAUCAUUUCACUCUAGCCCAUCACCCAGAUGAACCAGACCUGACUCGACUCUAAGCAUAGCAGGCAUAGCAAGGUAGGAACAACACAUACAUAUGGCUCAAUCAACUCCUACACAUGCUAGUGGGUUUCAUCUAGUUACUGUGGCAAUGACAGGUCAUGCAGAGGAAAUGGGUUCAACUACCGUAGCACACAGCAGUUUGGAACGCGUUGUCUUAAUGCAGUAAAAGAGAGCAGAAGCGAGAACAUGGGAUUGUAUCGAUAUGAUCAAAUGGUUGGUUGCUUGCCUGAUGGGUCGAUGCACUGAUAUUGUUCUUCGUUGGGGUAAUCACGAUACUCCUCAAGGGCAGGACCUGCCGCAGAGAGCACCGAUACACAACAUCACCAAACAAUAUGCAGUAAUAUGAUGCAUGCAUGAAACAUGGCAAUAUGAGUGUGUUGGGCUAAUGCAACUAAAACCAGAUGGGUUUGAACCAUUUUGAAUCAAAGAUUCAAGUUUCAAACUCAUACAUGGCCCUUAUAAGGUGCUUUAACUUGUUCUGCAAUAAACAGUAGGUUAGCUUGUUUAAACAUGCAUGAAACUAGUACAGAUGGAUAGAUUGGAUUUUUCUGAUCAUUUUUCAUAUAUAACACUUUGCAUUUGGAGUUAUGGUUGAUUUACUAUGAAUUUUUGAAGUUUGGGGGAUUUUCUGGAAUUUAUAAAUCAUUCUAGAUUUAUUUUAAUUCCAGAAAAGGAUUACUGCGUCAGCAUGAUGUCAUGCUGACCUCAGCAGGUCAAUAGGCCGGUCCAGGUCAAACUGACCAGUGGGUCCCGCAUGUCAGCACAAUUAGUUUAGCUAAAAAUUAAUUAGAACUAAACCGGAUUAGUUAACAGGGCUGGGCCCCACCUGUCAUUGACUCAACAGAGUCAACCAGGGCCCACCCGUGGUCAAAGUCAAGUCGGCUGCACCGGCGUUUAGCCGCCGGCGAGCCCGACGCGGCGGCGGAAGUGCUUUGGGCCGUUCCGGCCACCAAAUGGGUCGCGGAAGGCAUCUAAGUGGAGCUGGGGACAAACCGCAGCUCUUGGUGGGGUCGGGGUGGCCAGAAUCGGCGCCGACGAUGACCUAGGUGGCCGCCGGAGUUCGGGUGGAGGCGAACUCGGGGCCAGGGUGUGUGGUGAGGUGUGGGGAGUGUAUGGUUAGACCCUACGCGACGUGGUGAGUGCGAUGGACACUGAGAGGUGACCGGAGGAUGGCCGGGAGCACGUCGGCGACGAUCUCCGCGGUGGUGCGUGCGGGUGAUCUUCGUGCAGUUGCUACACAGCUCGGGGGCGAGAGAGAAAGGGAAGGGGAGGUAGCUAGGCUCACAGGGCACUCGUGGAGGCAACUGGCGGGGUCGGGGAUGGACUGAUGCGGCGACGGCGUUGCAGGGGAUCUCCGGCGACGGCGGACUCGGGUAGAGUCGGUGCGGUGGACUCGGGCCACACGAGCACGCGGGGCUCGGCUAGCUCGACGAAGAGGAUGGCGGCGGAGCUCCUAGACACGGCGAGACGGAGCACGGACGGCGGGGAGCGCGGCUACGGCGAUGGGGCGGCGGCGGUGGCGUCGGCCAUGGCUGGGGAGCACGAGGGAGAGGAGCUGGGGAGGAGAGGAGAUGUCUGAGGGGUUCGGGGGAGAGGGGGGGAGCGAUCUCCAUCAUCAGCUGGACGAGGGGAGCGGCGAGGCGGCGACCAGGUGUGUGGCACCCAUGCGGUGCUCGCCGCCGAGCACCUGCCUGCCUGCCUGGCCGAGCCAAGCAGCUCGCUGGCGCGGCAGCUGGGCUGGGCCGGCAGGUGGGCCGGUUAGUAGGCGCUAGGUAAGGUUUUCUUCCUAUUUUCCUGUUUCUGCUUUAUUCUGUAAGUUUGUGGACUUAUUAAAAAUACCUAGACAACUCCUAAAUUCCCCAAACUGCUCCUGGUCCUUAGUUGGAAUAUUUACAGCAUGGAACAUUUUAGUUUGGAAAUAUUUGAGCAUUCAAAAUAAUUUUAUAUAAUUUAAAUGCCCAAACUCAAAUACUUAUGAGUUAAUUCAAAGACCUUAGGAUGACCUAGAAAACUAUGCAUCACUUUUGGCAGAGGUUCUGAACCAAGACAAAAAUGAUGGACAUUUUGGAAGGGCAUUUCAGGUUCAUUGAAAAUAUUUUUAGUAAACCCUAGUUGGAUUCAGAGGGGGCUGGGGGUUCUGUCAUCCCCAUUUCAAGUUUCUGAUGAAAGAAUAGACAUGAUGCAACACUCUAAUGCAUGAACUAGCUAGGGUGUGACAACUCACCCCCACUCAAAAGAAUCUCGUCCCGAGAUUUAGGUUCCUCCGGAAAGAAGGCGGGGUACUCAAGUCGAAGACGAUCCUCCCUUUCCCAAGUUGCUUCCUUCUCAGAAUGGUGCGACCAUUGAACCUUGAGAAACUUGAUAUUAUGACGUUGAGUGGUACGCUCGGCUUGAUCGAGGAUACGAACGGGGUACUCUCGAUACGUGAGGUUAUCUUGAAGAUCAAGCGUUUCGUGGUCCACUGCACGGAUAGGAUCCGAGAAGCAACGCCUGAGUUGAGAAACGUGGAAGACAUCAUGGACUCUGGAAAGAUGCGGAGGUAAUUCCAAUUGGUAGGCAACUUCUCCUCGUUUAGCGAGAAUGCGAAAGGGUCCAAUGUAGCGAGGAGCCAAUUUGCCUUUGAUACCGAAGCGAUGGGUUCCCUUCAGAGGAGUAACCCGAAGGUAAGCCUUCUCGUCAACCUCAAAGGUCAUAGCCUUAUGUUUUCGGUCGUAUUGACUCUUUUGACGAGAUUGGGCUGUUUUCAACUUUUCAUGAACAAUGCGAACUUGCUCUUCUGCUUCCUGGAUCAUGUCUGGGCCAAAGAAUUGUCUUUCCCCGGUUUCUGACCAGUUAAGAGGCGUUCGACACCUUCGUCCAUAGAGAACUUCAAAAGGGGCUUUACCCAAGCUAGAUUGAUAGCUGUUGUUAUAAGCAAAUUCGGCAAAUGGAAGGCAUUUCUCCCAAUCCAUUCCGAAUGAGAUAACCGAAGCUCGAAGCAUGUCUUCUAGAAUCUGGUUGACACGUUCUACUUGACCACUUGAUUGAGGGUGAAAAGCAGUGCUAAAAGAAAGGCGGGUUCCCAUAGCAUUUUGGAAACUUUCCCAAAAUAGAGAGGUGAAGAGACUUCCUCGAUCGGAGUUAAUUUCCAGUGGAACACCAUGGAGAGACAUUAUUCGGAAGAUGUACAAGUCUACUAAUUGACUAGCGGUUAUACUCUCGCGAACAGGUAAGAAAUGGGCUACUUUGGAAAGACGAUCGACAACGACGAAGAUAGCGUUAUUCCCUCUCUUGGUCCUGGGAAAACCGGUAAUGAAAUCCAUACCAAUUUUAUCCCAUUUCCAUUCGGGAAUAGCUAAGGGUUGAAGGGUGCCAGUAGGCCGCUGAUGCUCUGCUUUUACACGGCGACAGACGUCGCAGCUAGCAACAAACUGAGCAAUGUCUCUCUUCAUCCUAGUCCACCAGAACCUCUGGCGUAGGUCCUGAUACAUCUUAGUACUACCGGGAUGAAUGGUGAGAGGAGAUUCAUGAGCUUCCUUUAGGAUCAAUAGCCUCAGGUUUCGCACUUUGGGAACCACUAGACGGUUCCCGAAGUAUAUGACUCCUUGAUCAUCAAUGGAGAAACAAUUCGCAACUCCUUUCUUGAUGUUUCUUUUGAUGCGGGAAAUCCUCGGAUCUACCUUCUGUGCUUUGAUGAUCUGAUCCGUAAGGGUAGGUUUCGCCACCAAGGUGGAAAGGAAUCCUUGAGGAACAAUGUGAAGGUUAAGCUUCCGAAAUUCCUCAUGGAGAAGCGGUUGACUUUGUUGUAACAUCAGAUUGUUACAAUAAGAUUUACGACUUAGUGCAUCAGCCAUGACGUUGGCCUUUCCUGGGGUGUAAGUUAUUCCUAAGUCGAAAUCUAUGAUCAACUCAACCCAACGUCUUUGCCUGAGAUUCAAAUCCGGUUGGGUGAAGAUGUACUUCAGACUUUGGUGAUCGGUGAAGAUUUCGCAACAAUUACCGAGGAGGUAAUGUCGCCAGGUUUUAAGUGCAUAGACUAUAGCUACAAGCUCUAGAUCAUGAGUAGGAUAAUUCUCCUCAUGUGGGUGUAAUUGCCGUGAAGCAUAAGCAAUUACGUGACGAUCUUGCAUUCUAGUCCUUGUCGCGAGGCGUCGCAAUAGAUAACAAAGUCCUUAGAGAAAUCUGGUGGUACCAAUACGGGAGCAGAUGUCAGGCGUCUUUUCAGUUCCUGAAAGCUGUGCUCACAUUGUGGAGUCCACUCGAACUUUUUAUCUUUCUUGAGGAGUUCAGUUAGAGGUUUGGCAACUUUGGAGAAGUUCUCGACAAAGCGGCGACAAUAGCUCGCUAAGCCAAGGAAACUCCGAACUUGCUUGACCAAUUCAGGUGGAGUCCAAUUAAGGACGGCUCGAACUCGCUCGGGGUUAAUAGCAAUACCUUUACCAAAAAUUACAUGUCCUAGAUAGGUCACUUCUGGCAACCAAAAUUCACAUUUAGAGAACUUGGCAUAAAGGCGAUGCUCUCGAAGUUUCAUCAACACUAGCCUUAGAUGUUCGGCAUGUUCUUCCUCGUUCUUGGAGUAGAUGAGUAUAUCAUUGAGGUAGACCACGACGAAUUUAUCCAAAUACUCCAUGAAGAUUGAGUUCAUUAACCGAGAAAAGGUGGCUGGGGCGUUGGUUAGACCGAAGGACAUGACGGUGUACUCGUAUUGGCCAUAACGAGUAACAAAGGCCGUUUUAGGAAUGUCCCCGUUCCGGAUUUUGAUUUGAUGGUAGCCUAAUCUCAAAUCCAUUUUAGAGAAGACUGAGGAUCCAGCGAGCUGAUCAUACAGGUCGUUGAUCCUGGGGAGUGGAUACUUGUUCUUGAUUGUGACGAGGUUGACUGGUCGAUAAUCUACAACCAUCCGGUCCGUACCAUCCUUCUUCUUGACGAAGAGGACGGGGCAAGCCCAUGGAGACGAACUAGGUCGGAUGAAACCCUUUUUCAAGGACUCAUCGAGUUGUUUCUUAAGCUCGGCUAGUUCUAGUGGUGCCAUCUUAUAGGGUCUUCUAGCAAUCGGGACAGUUCCUGGAAUGAGAUCUAUCACGAACUCAACAUCUCUGUCAGGUGGAACACCUGGCAAUUCCUCUGGGAAGACAUCUGAGAAGUCACGGACUACCGGAAUGUCUUCAAGGUCUGGCAACGGACUGGCAUUAAGAGAAUAUAGCUGUCGCUUAGCUACUCGGGUCAAGACAUUGACUAUCUUUCCCGAAGGAUGUGUGAGUUGAACAGUCCUAGAGAAACAAUCAAUUUUAGCAUGAUGGGCUGACAUCCAGUCCAUGCCCAAAAUGAUAUUAAUAUCCGAAGAUUUGAGAGCUAUCAAAGAUGCGAGAAAAACAAGUCUGUCGACUUGAAUUUCAUUCCCAUGGCUUACUCUAGAAGUUUGCCAUUUGGAUCCCGGGGUUUGAAUUACCAUAGAGGUGGGCAUCUCACAGAAUGUGGUGUUAUGCAGACGAGCAUAGCUCUCGGAUAUAAAUGAAUGAGAUGCUCCUGUAUCGAAAAGAACAGAUGCCAGGUGGCAAUUAACAAGGAGCGUACCAAGAACGACGUUGGGAUCCUCUUGAGCUUCUUCGGCAGAGAUACAGUUGACAUGGCCACGUGCAGCGGUGGCCGGCUUGGCGUAGAACGCUUUCCCUGUCGACUUGCCACGGCCAACAGCUUUUCCAGAUUGGUUGGGGUUGGUCUGGGGACACUCGCGCAGAUAGUGGCCCGGUUCCCCACAUUUAAAGCAAGUCACAGAGCUGGUACGUGGAGGAGCAUUGUUGGUUGGACCACCAUAGGGCUUGGCUGGUGUAAACUAUUGGGCGGGGCGAGGCAAUUGAAAGGAUGGCCUCGGUGUGAACCUGGGUGGCAGGGCAGUGUUAGGCACCCACACGCGGCGCUUCUGAGGACCAGCACCGGAUGAAGAACCCAUGUCACGGCCAUGCUUGCGUGUUGCUUCAAAAUCGGUCUGACCAGACUCAGCACUGAUGGCUUUGUUAACAAGCUUCUGAAAAGAUGUGCACUCAUGCAGACGGAGAUCGCGGCGAAGCUCAGGGCUAAGUCCCUUACGGAACCUUGCUUGCUUCUUGGCAUCAGUAGAGACUUCCUCAGUUGCAUAUCGUGCAACGUUACCGAACUCCCUGUUGUAAGCAUCCAUAGAAAGUCGACCUUGAGUGAAACUGCAGAACUCCUCACGUUUACGGUCCAUGAGACCCUCCGGAAUGUGAUGAUCAUGGAAAGCCUCGCUGAAUUCAGCCCAAGUAGUGACAUGGCCCGCUGGGCGCAUAGCUCCAUAGUUCUCCCACCAUAGACUGGCGGGGCCUUCAAGAUGAUAUGCAGCAAAGGUGACCUUAUCAGCCUCAGCUACUAGCGCAGAACGCAGUUUGUGAGUAAUACUGCGAAGCCAGUCAUCGGCGUCAAGAGGCUCGACGGAGUGGUGGAAAGUGGGUGGAUGUAACUUGAUGAAAUCACUGAGUGACACCAAGUUAUUCCUCUGAUGGUGUGUUGUGUUUUGCUCGAUGCGCUCCAACAAACGGUUAGUCUCCCGCUUGUUUCUCUCGACUUCCAGCAUAACUUCGGCCAGAGAGGGAGGGUGAGGCAGAUUUGUUCCCCCAACUCUGCUGCCUUCGGCCUGCUCUGGGGGAGUAGGGUUGGUGCGGGUGUUAACCAUCCUAGGAAAACAAAGCAAUGGUUUAGUCCAGGAUGAUAGGAUUUUGACAUAGAAAUGUAGAAUGUAAUGGAUAACUUGGAAUGUAAGAUGAUCAUCCGUAUGACAUGGUAGAUACAGAAACUACUUCUUUUAUUCCAUCGUCAUACACACCAUACAAGGUUUAGUAUAGAACCAAACAAAGUACUGCUAUGGUGAAAUUAGGAUUACAUCUCAUCGGAGGCAUUCCGAGCUCCUAUACAUUUUUUUUCUACAUCUUCGGAAGGCGGUACAAACUAAGGCAUAUCCCACGAGUCACGCAGGACGGUGGACGAUAUAGCUAGUACGACACUAGUGAUACUACUACUAACUCAGACAGCUCCGUAGUAGUCUUCAUAGAAGUCACCUCCAUAGCCUGGAAGCUCAACGUGAUCAUCCGGAAAUAGUCGGUCCCGUGGAGCUUGUGGACCAUAGGGGCUAGGAUGAGGUCUUGGGCCAAUAAACGGUGGCCUACGGGGACCACGAGGUCGGGUGAUGCCUCCUACAUCAUGCCAAUCCAUCACGUCUGGCAGAGCAGAUCUCACAGGAUAGAGAUCUCGCAUAUCCAUAUAUCCAGCUUGCACAGUCGGUGCAAACCGAGUCAAAGUGGCCCAAUGAUCAGCAUGGGUAUUGAAAAGCUCUAACCUCAAGGCCCGAUUUUCACGGUCCUUGUCUUCAAGCAACUGUGCAGUGGUGUGGGUCCGUGAAUCCUCCUGGGUGGAGUCAGCAUAGAUAGCCUGGAGAUACCCUUGUGCUCCUGUAAGUGAUGCUGGCAUAUACCGGAAAUCAGAGUCCCGAAAUAGGCCAGUCCUGACUCGCAUGAUGGUCAUCAUAGAGUAGGCAGCAUCCUGCACAGCCAUCUCAAUAGUAACCCCGAGUCCAUAGGAGCAGUGAAGGGGCUCGGUAGAUCCAGGAUAAGAUGGAAAUAUCCUGACAGUGCAAAGAUAUUGACUUUGAUUAAAGUCUCGGAAUUGCUCUUCAACCGUGUACUCAGGAUACCAACGGUAUCCAGCCUCGGUCAUUACCCUGACCAACAUAGCAGUAUGGCCGGGUACAUCUAGACAUCGAGUCAAACGAACCACUUGAUUCUGAGGACGGGACGCCAUCUGGAACAUGAUAAACACAAGACAUUAAAAUUCCUAGCAAAAAUUGGAUAGCAUAACGGCUGUAAAUGCUCAAAAAGGAUUUUGAGGCAUUUGACAAAGAAUUGCAUAGACACUCAACAACAUCAUAUCAAAGUUCUGGGUCCAUCUUAGCAACAUAAUGGGAUAGUAGAACUGAACUAGGCUUGUAUGCAUCAAACCUAUAAGGUACUACUGAUUAGUAACACGUGAAGUUGAUAGAGAGGAGAGAUCCUAGUCCUUAACCCCCGGUAGAAGAAUAGACUGACUCAGAUCAGAAUGUCAUGAGAUAGAGGAGUAAAAAGAGCCUUACGUUCCAUCCCACAAUCAAUUCCCCUAUAUAUAACUAAAGAAUUUCUAGACUCAACAUCGACCAGUUUGGCUUGGAGAACCUACAGGCAGUCCGGCUCUGAUGCCAACGCUGUCAGGACCCCGACUCGAUGCCACAUCGAUCUAGCAUGUGACACCUCAUAUCACUUUGCGGCCUCACGCACGGUUUUCCCACGGGUGUCGUCUUACCUUUGCCCGGGACCGUUUGCACCUUUUGGCACACGUAUAUGAUAGUGUCGCUAGCAUCCAUAUGGUAAGGAUCCCGGGCUGACAUGGCUAGUCGUAAACCCAAAGUGGCACAGACUUACAGGGACAGGCAUCCAUGACCCAGCAUCGAACGUGUCGGUCAUCAGCAAGUGAAUCCGGGCUGUAGCACUGGGCUGGUAGGACUCUGGUAAACCGGGUUGUAGCGGGCUAACAGGACUCCGGUAUCCAUCGCGUGACAUUUCCCCGAAGGGACAGACACAGGAACGAAGAAGGACACAUGCCGGCCAGCCUAAGUGUUCCGGAGCAGUAGCAAGCUACCAAGGCUCAGUGGAGACACUAGGAGACAUUUCCCAGUAAGAGAGGCUACUAAGAAUAAACAACUAGAUAGUCAGAUCCCACACAUACCAAGCAUUUCAAUCAUACACACAAUAUGCUCGAUAUGUGCAAAUACAACAAGGCAUCACAACAUGACUCUACGACACCAGUACUUUAUUUAAGGCUCAGAGAGCCAUACAUAUCAUACACACAAGUACAGGUCACACGACCUAGCAUUCAAGUCAUACAGACAUAGAAGCCAACAGCGGAAGUAACUUGUCUGGGUACAGACAACUAGUAAAAUAAAAGAGGCUUGGGAAAGCCUGGCUAUACUACGUGGUCCUUCACAAGCUCAGGAUCACCACCUGGGCCUCGGUCUACUCAUCGAUGUCAACGUCUACGAAGAACCCAUCAGAAGGGGUUGCAGCGUCUUCUGAAAAAUGUAAAUUAAAGCAACAUGAGUACAAAGGUACUCAGCAAGACUUACAUCAGAUCCUACAUACAUGCACAUUAUCAAGAAGGGUUGGUGGGGUUAUUGCAGCAAGCCAGCUUUGACUCUUGGCUAAGCUAUCCUACGAUACACCAACUUGAAAUGGCUUUGCGCACACGAGUCCACUACUCACCACUUCAAUACACCACCGAGGAUCCACCUCCGUCAUCCUACGGAAGAACCAUCCUCGGCACUCACGCUUAUCUUGAGAUUUUUAGUAGUAUCCAUUUACUUGUCUAUGAACUGUAUAGGCAACCAAGUAGUCCUUUACCGCGGACGCGGCUAUUCGAAUAGAUAAUGUUAACCCUGCAGGGGUGUACUUCUUCAUACACGCUCUCACCACUUACCGCCGUUUACACAACAUGUACUCGGCAACCUUCAAGCGGAAGCCCAACGUGGGUGUCGGCCACGACCUACCUAAACACCUAAGUCUCUAGUCCAGGUUUAUCGCCUAUCCAGGUUCCAUCCGCAGGGAGUCCAGCCGAGGUUUCCACAUACGGCCCUGAACGAUGUGUACAGGGUUCCCGAGAUACCUAACGGGUAUCUGGUACACCGUGCCAUGUACCUACCGCAUCACAGCCCACCCCUACGGUCAGCGCUGUCCACGGCCUCCAGUAGGCUACAAACACCAGAAACUACUUGCAACUCCUAGACAGAGGACUAGGGUGAAUAAGAAGCCAAGAGGGUCCAUUGGUUUCGGGCCCAAUGCAUGGUAGUAGCUGAUUCUUAAAUCACACAUACAGAUCUCAGUGCUUAAGGACGGCUUCAAUGAAACAACCCACCAUGUACUCCUACAUGGCCUUUCAUCGAUACCUUUACCAAAUCGUGUUCACCACAUCACUCUCAUUACCGGCAUGAUCAUUUCACUCUAGCCCAUCACCCAGAUGAACCAGACCUGACUCGACUCUAAGCAUAGCAGGCAUAGCAAGGUAGGAACAACACAUACAUAUGGCUCAAUCAACUCCUACACAUGCUAGUGGGUUUCAUCUAGUUACUAUGGCAAUGACAGGUCAUGCAGAGGAAAUGGGUUCAACUACCGUAGCACACAGCAGUUUGAAACGUGUUGUCUUAAUGCAGUAAAAGAGAGCAUAAGGAGAACAUGGGAUUGUAUCGAUAUGAUUAAAUGGUUGGUUGCUUGCCUGAUGGGUCGAUGCACUGAUAUUGUUCUUCGUUGGGGUAAUCAUGAUACUCCUCAGGGGCAGGACCUGCCGCAGAGAGCACCGAUACACAACAUCACCAAACAGUAUGCAGCAAUAUGAUGCAUGCAUGAAACAUGGCAAUAUGAGUGUGUUGGGCGAAUGCAACUAAAACCAGAUGGGUUUGAACCAUUUUGAAUCAAAGAUUCAAGUUUCAAACUCAUACAUGGCCCUUAUAAGGUGCUUUAACUUGUUCUGCAAUAAACAGUAGGUUAGCUUGUUUAAACAUGCAUGAAACUUGUACAGGUGGAUAGAUUGGAUUUUUCUGAUCAUUUUUCAUAUAUAACACUUUGCAUUUGGAGUUAUGGUUGAUUUACUAUGAAUUUUUGAAGUUUGGGGGAUUUUCUGGAAUUUAUAAAUCAUUCUAGAUUUAUUUUAAUUCCAGAAAAGGAUUACUGCGUCAGCAUGAUGUCAUGCUGACCUCAGCAGGUCAACAGGCCGGUCCAGGUCAAACUGACCAGUGGGUCCCGCAUGUCAGCACAAUUAGUUUAGCUAAAAAUUAAUUAGAACUAAACCGGAUUAGUUAACAGGGCUGGGGGUUCUGUCAUCCCCAUUUCAAGUUUCUGAUGGACAUUUUGGAAGGGCAUUUCAGGUUCAUUGAAAAUAUUUUUAGUAAACCCUAGUUGGAUUCAGAGGGGGCUGGGGGUUCUGUCAUCCCCAUUUCAAGUUUCUGAUGAAAGAAUAGACAUGAUGCAACACUCUAAUGCAUGAACUAGCUAGGGUGUGACACCGGUUGUAGAUAACUUGACACCAGAUCCGAAUUAAAACGCAUCAACCGCGUGUGUAGCCGUGAUGGUCUCUUUUCGGUGGAGUCCGGGAACUGAACACGGUUUUGGGUUAUGUUUGACGUAAGUAGGAGUUCAGGAUCACUUCUUGAUCAUUGCUAGCUCCACGACCGUUCCAUUUGCUCUCUUCUCGCUCUUAUUUGCGUAUGUUAGCCACCAUAUCUUUCUUAGUCGCUGUUGCAACCUCACCACUUUACCCCUUCCUUUCCCUUUAAGCUUUGCUAGUCUUGAUACCCAUGGUAAUGGGAUUGCUGAGUCCUCGUGGCUCACAGAUUACUACAACAACAGUUGCAGGUACAGGUUAUGCGAUGAUCAUGACGCAAGAGCGAUGCUUGCUUGUUUUGGAGUUCUUCUUCUGCUUCUUCUUUGAUCAGGAGAUAGGUUCCAGGUCGGCAGCCUGGGCUAGCAGGGUGGAUGUCGUUUGAGUUUUUGUUUGUGAUUCAUCCGUAGUCGGAUGAUGCUCUUAUGUAUUGUGAUGUUGUAUUCGUGUGGCAUUGUAUACCUCUUGUAUGUAUCCCCAUCUAUUAUGUAAUGUUGAUGUAAUGCUAUCCACCUUGCAAAAGUGUUUCAAUAUGCGGUUCUAUCCUUGGUGGGACCUUCUAGUCUCUUUAGGAUAGUAUCGCAUAUUGGGCGUGACAUUAUGUUGUUGUCCUUUGGUGCCCAUCAUAUGAGCGCGCGCGUGGAUCACACCAUAGGGUUAGUUGUAUGUUGAUAGGACUAUGUAUUGGAGGGCUAGAAUGACAGAAGCUUCAACCUAGCAUAGAAAUUGAUGCAUACGGGAUUGAAG
RNAcentral lists this long non-coding RNA (15068 nucleotides) under Triticum aestivum (bread wheat). Its description in RNAcentral is "long non-coding RNA (TAES_LNC012377)". Lineage: Eukaryota; Viridiplantae; Streptophyta; Magnoliopsida; Poales; Poaceae. The record is from RNAcentral.